This is a long non-coding RNA of Apteryx rowi (Okarito brown kiwi), 1810 nucleotides long. NCBI's taxonomy places the organism in Eukaryota, Metazoa, Chordata, Aves, Apterygiformes, Apterygidae. The record is from Ensembl.
CCUUGCUGGCAGGACUCUCCCCAGCUUACUCCCAGCCUGCAGGCACUACAGUAUUAUACAUGAGCAGUCGUGCCUGGCUUAACACCACCUCACUGGUACUCAGCAAAGCCGUGUUCUAACAUGAGUUAAUGCCCUAGAAACGCAGGGCCAAGAAACACUUAAAAAAAAAAAAGUGUAAUUAGCCUCUAAUUAGAAAUGUUACUUGCAACCACUGGCAUUUGAGCUGGGUCAUCUAAAACCAGUGGGGAAACACCAGUCAGUCUGCAUUCUCAUGCCCAGCUGCAAAAGUACCCUCUGUAACACUUCUGCAAGUGUGAAAACAUUAACACAGCCUGCUAGGUGGUGUUUUCUUUUUGCCCAAGUUCCUUGGUCUCUGAAGUGAAAGCAUCCAGCUGCCUGCUUCAUACACACCAAGUGCCAGAGGCUGGCCAAAGCAUUCGCAUGGAAACAGUGCGUCUUUGCAUAUGGACCCUCCCGCUUAGGGUAUGCCCUGUGCCAGCAUUCACUGAGGGCAGAUGUUUCCUUGCUCGGGACUGCGUUCCCACUCACCUCGUCUGCCGGUUCCCAGCCCUGCUGUGGCUCUGCCAGCAAACAAGCUUGUUGAAAGGACUGCUUUUUACUAAAGGCCUCCUUGAUUGUCAGCAGCUCACCCAGCCCCAACAACAGCUUCACAGAAGCUACCUCCCUGCACCCUCACAGCUUUGGCAUUUUGUCUCCACCCUGCUAAGACAGCUAGCAUGGAUGUGUUUUAACAGUGUUGCUAACACAUGGGCAUCCAUCAGCUGGAUGCCAGAGCUCAUGCCCUGCUGAGACAGCCUCCAGUGAAGUCUCACCUAGCUUGAACCUUCACCAAGGUGCAAUGCGAGCUGGUGACUGGCAGGGGAUAGACUGCUGGCUGCAUCUUCAGCGAGACCGACCCUGUGAGCCUCAGACCUUCAAUCGCACCACAGAGCCAACGUCCUGAUGCCUGCACCGUCACGUUUCCCUCAGCUUGAGCUUGCCCUGGAACUGAAACUCCUCCUCUCCUGCAAAUGGAAGAGCCACACAGCCAUGUCCAGCAAAGGAAACGACGAUGCAGAGCAGGAAUUUGGGCACAGCCACUGUGUAACAGGCUCUUGACCACCCACCCUUGGAAGUGGAGCUGGCAGCGAGGGAAGAGGGAUUGUGCAGCCCAGCAGGGAGGGUGCUGCCCUCCCUUCUACUACAAAGCAACCUCCGCCUUGAACAGCUCUCCGAUGGGAGGACUGGCUCCGUUUUCCCUCUGUGGGAAUGUUGUGAGACCUGAUUAGAGCUUAAACAACCUCUUAAGGAAGGGACACAGCAAUUUAUACCUUUCCUGUUGGUCCCACCUGUCUUAGCAGGAAAUAAUUAGGCACAUUGCUGCUUUUAAAACAGUCUUGAAUCAGCUUAUGAAAUAGAGCUGGCCAAAGCAAAAAUAACCCCCAAACUUCUAAUUAAAAAGAGAAACAGUUUAGACAGUUUUUUUUUUUUAAACCAGCUGGGGAAGGGAGAAAGAAUUUCACUGAAAAAAGUCCAACUUGCUGUAGUUUAGAAAAAUUCAUACUUACGUUUUCUGUGAAAACUGCUCUUUGACAGAAAAAAGAUGCACAAAAAUAUUCGUAGGAGUCAAAAGUUUACAGCAAUGUCUCUAGCGACUGCUCCUUCCUUUCUAAGCUCUCUAGGCCUCCAAAGAAGAAAGUUAAAAAGAAAAAAAAAAAAAAAAGCAAGUCGUUGCUGUCAGUGUAAUAUGAGAACAAGCAGGCUGCAAGUUUUCCACCCACCCCUUCCCUUCACAGUGGCUUUAUCCAGG